RNAcentral lists this unclassified non-coding RNA (520 nucleotides) under uncultured Glomus. RNAcentral's name for it is "SSU rRNA". It matches the Rfam family "Eukaryotic small subunit ribosomal RNA", at positions 569 to 1091 of the family's 1831-position model. The record is from RNAcentral. Lineage: Eukaryota; Fungi; Glomeromycota; Glomeromycetes; Glomerales; Glomeraceae.
CGCAGCCGCGGUAAUUCCAGCUCCAAUAGCGUAUAUUAAAGUUGUUGCAGUUAAAAAGCUCGUAGUUGAAUUUCGGGGUUAGUAGGUUGGUCAUGCCUCUGGUAUGUACUGGUCUCACUGAUUCCUCCUUCCUGAUGAGCCGUAAUGCCAUUAAUUUGGUGUUGCGGGGAAUUUGGACUGUUACUUUGAAAAAAUUAGAGUGUUUAAAGCAAGCUAACGCUUGAAUACAUUAGCAUGGAAUAAUGAAAUAGGACGUUCGAUCCUAUUUUGUUGGUUUCUAGGAUUGACGUAAUGAUUAAUAGGGAUAGUUGGGGGCAUUAGUAUUCAAUUGUCAGAGGUGAAAUUCUUGGAUUUAUUGAAGACUAACUACUGCGAAAGCAUUUGCCAAGGAUGUUUUCAUUAAUCAAGAACGAAAGUUAGGGGAUCGAAGACGAUCAGAUACCGUCGUAGUCUUAACCAUAAACUAUGCCGACUAGGGAUCGGAUGAUGUUAAUUUUUAAUGACUCAUUCGGCGCCUUAC